Molecule: ribosomal RNA, 602 nt
Filed under: uncultured bacterium
Lineage: Bacteria
Description: bacterial SSU rRNA
Rfam family: Bacterial small subunit ribosomal RNA (bases 1-525)
Source: RNAcentral
CCUACGGGAGGCAGCAGUGGGGAAUAUUGCACAAUGGGCGCAAGCCUGAUGCAGCGACGCCGCGUGAGGGAUGACGGCCUUCGGGUUGUAAACCUCUUUCAGUAGGGAAGAAGCGAAAGUGACGGUACCUGCAGAAGAAGCGCCGGCUAACUACGUGCCAGCAGCCGCGGUAAUACGUAGGGCGCAAGCGUUAUCCGGAAUUAUUGGGCGUAAAGAGCUCGUAGGCGGUUUGUCGCGUCUGCCGUGAAAGUCCGGGGCUCAACUCCGGAUCUGCGGUGGGUACGGGCAGACUAGAGUGAUGUAGGGGAGACUGGAAUUCCUGGUGUAGCGGUGAAAUGCGCAGAUAUCAGGAGGAACACCGAUGGCGAAGGCAGGUCUCUGGGCAUUAACUGACGCUGAGGAGCGAAAGCAUGGGGAGCGAACAGGAUUAGAUACCCUGGUAGUCCAUGCCGUAAACGUUGGGCACUAGGUGUGGGGGACAUUCCACGUUUUCCGCGCCGUAGCUAACGCAUUAAGUGCCCCGCCGUCGGAGGUACGGCCGCGACGACGUAAACUACAAGAAGUAGUAGCGNGNGAGAGCGACGACGACGACGAGGAGGAGG